UUAAAGGGUAAGGGAACAGGGCUGACAGAAGAUUCUGCAGGAGAAGAGGAGGGAGAAAUGGUACUGCAUUCAGUAAUAUCAGAGAGAAUUAGGCCAGGAGAAGAAGAAGUGGAGGGAAUAGGCGUAUGUGGAGAGCUGAUAUCAGCAGGAGUAUGAAGAGGACUGGGAGGGGAAGUAGGACUGACACCAGCAGCAGUAGAAGAAAGAGAUGGUGUAGGACUGCCAGAAUUAAGAAGGUGAGGAUGAGGAGAAGCUUCAGCCAUGAACCAUGAAGAAGCAGAAACAGGGGAAGUAUGAGCAGCAGUAGAAGGUGGAGUGGAAGUGGGAAAUAAAAGGGAAUAAGGAAACCUUGUUUCAUGGAAAAGAACAUCCUUAGAAAUAUAGAGAUGUCCAUUGGCAGCCAAACAUUUGUACCCCUUAUGAACAGUGGAGUAUCCUAGAAAAAUACACUCCUUAGACCGAUAAUCA
Molecule: long non-coding RNA, 468 nt
Filed under: Lathyrus oleraceus (garden pea)
Lineage: Eukaryota; Viridiplantae; Streptophyta; Magnoliopsida; Fabales; Fabaceae
Description: Pisum sativum (pea) long non-coding RNA (PSAT_LNC020218)
Source: RNAcentral